UACGGGGGGGGCAAGCGUUGUUCGGAAUUACUGGGCGUAAAGCGUGCGCAGGCGGUUGUGCAAGACCGAUGUGAAAUCCCCGGGCUCAACCUGGGAAUGGCAUUGGUGACUGCACGGCUAGAGUGUGUCAGAGGGGGGUAGAAUUCCACGUGUAGCAGUGAAAUGCGUAGAGAUGUGGAGGAAUACCGAUGGCGAAGGCAGCCCCCUGGGAUAACACUGACGCUCAUGCACGAAAGCGUGGGGAGCAAACAGG
RNAcentral lists this ribosomal RNA (253 nucleotides) under uncultured bacterium. RNAcentral's name for it is "partial 16S ribosomal RNA". It matches the Rfam family "Bacterial small subunit ribosomal RNA", at positions 524 to 776 of the family's 1533-position model. The record is from RNAcentral.